GUGUCAGCAGCCGCGGUAAUACGUAGGGUGCAAGCGUUAAUCGGAAUUACUGGGCGUAAAGCGUGCGCAGGCGGUUAUGUAAGACAGGUGUGAAAUCCCCGGGCUUAACCUGGGAACUGCAUUUGUGACUGCAUAGCUAGAGUACGGUAGAGGGGGAUGGAAUUCCGCGUGUAGCAGUGAAAUGCGUAGAUAUGCGGAGGAACACCGAUGGCGAAGGCAAUCCCCUGGACCUGUACUGACGCUCAUGCACGAAAGCGUGGGGAGCAAACAGGAUUAGAAACCCUUGUAGUCC
RNAcentral lists this ribosomal RNA (292 nucleotides) under uncultured bacterium. RNAcentral describes it as "partial 16S ribosomal RNA". It matches the Rfam family "Bacterial small subunit ribosomal RNA", at positions 505 to 796 of the family's 1533-position model. The record is from RNAcentral.